Long non-coding RNA from Ostrea edulis (European flat oyster), 1650 nucleotides. RefSeq lists it as uncharacterized. The transcript is spliced from 2 exons. NCBI's taxonomy places the organism in Eukaryota, Metazoa, Mollusca, Bivalvia, Ostreida, Ostreidae. The record is from RefSeq and is a predicted model, not a curated record.
AUAUGCACAUACCACAUAAGUAUACGUCAAUGUCUGUAAUAAUGGUAGAUCAAAUGUUUCAUCUGUGUGAAACUUUUUGCUAAUCGAAAUGUUAAACCAACCACCAAUCCAUGUACAUAGAUGCGCUACGUAAACAAAGUUGUUGAUUGAUGCAUCGCAAUGUCCGAGUGCUGCAUGCUGAGAGAUUAAAUACUGUUUAUACAGUCAUUGAGAGGCUAAACAAAGUUUCUUGCAAGAAGAGGAAGUUGGUGGAUGCAUUCAUCUUGGACAAGGAAAUCAUAGUUUCGUUUGGCAUCAGCCUGAAGACGGAGGGAGGUUAGAUAGGACCAAUGCAGGUUGAAGUGGAUUUCGAGUCAACAAGUAUAACAGCAAGAGAGUUACUAUAAUUUUUUUUUGAUAAACAUUUGUAAAGACAAUUCUGAGUAUAUCAGAUAUUCAUCUUUUUUGCUAUAUUUAAAUAUAUUUAUCUAUAUUUUGAACAGGUACUCCAUUUACAGUGAUGAUGACAUAUCCCCUGGACCCCCACAACUCCACAAAUUUAAAAAUGUUUGAUCAAGUUCCGAAGAUUAAAGAACUAAUGCAAAAUUUGGGACUGGAUGAAAAACAUUAAUUCACUUAUAUGAGCUCAGAGCAGUGGAUGUUAUACAACAUACUUUAAACUAAAUUGUGAAUUUAAGGGGAAACAAGUGCAUGUACUCGUAUAUUACAAGUACAUGCCUUUUGAAAGACAAUAAUAUUGCAUAGAUGUAAAGGAAAUUUCAAUGUUGAUUACUCUUUCUUAGAUAUAUUAGUAAAAAAUGUGCACAUGAUAGAAUAUCAAUUUUAUAACUUCAAUCAAAGUGUUUGAAUUUUCCUUAUAAUUCAAAAUUUAGUUGAAACAUACAUCAUAGAUACAUUAAUGUAUAUCAAAUUUUUAGAAAAGUUUCAUAAUGGAACUAUUUCACUCCCCCCCCCCCCUUAUACAUACAGUGAACAUAGACCUUCACCUGGGGAAAACUUCAGUUAGUUAAUGCAAUAUACAUGUACAUGCACUCUCAGUUAUCCAAUAGUGAGUUUUUGGUUCCAUGUGAAACUACAAUUAGAAAUCUUAAACUUAUGAAAGACACACCUAUCUGUGAGGGUAAGAUGACUCAGAUGGACUUAAAUGUAGUGAUCCAUGGGCAGUCCAUGGAUCUCUUUCCAUUGAUAUUAAUUAUUUAUUGAAAAUUAAAUGGUUAUUUAAACAUAUUUGGUGUAUUAUACUGUAUAUUGAUAUAAAUUUCUAUCAAAAAAUAUGUAUAGGUAAUAGAUUUGGUCCAGUUAUUACAAGAAAUUGUAUGAAAAAUAACUAAAUAUUUAGGCAAUCAUUGUGAGUGCGAAAAGGUCAACUGCAAUAGCACACACUAUAUAUCAUUCUUAAAUGGCUCAUAGAAACUUCUAGUAUUGUGAGUUUCAAUGCUCAAUAUGGUAAUUUGGGAAUGCUUAAUCAUUUAAGGUCAAUAGUUUAUAUCUGCUGACUGUAUCUCUUAAAAUUCAUUUCUAGAAGGGAGGGAGUAGGGUUACAAAAUCUGACAUAGUUUCAGAUUAAACCUACUUUGGUAUAUUUUUUUCUAUUCAAUAUUUUAGAUACUACUUGACUUAUUGUAAAAAUGAAAUAAAAUCAGAAAUUUU